GGUUAGCUCAAUUGGUUAGAGCGCUGCACCGGAAUCGCAGGGCCGUAGGUUCAAUUCCUACCAGAGGACCU
Non-coding RNA from Paramuricea clavata, 71 nucleotides. The record is from the annotation of a GenBank genome assembly. Lineage: Eukaryota; Metazoa; Cnidaria; Anthozoa; Malacalcyonacea; Plexauridae.